Molecule: ribosomal RNA, 253 nt
Filed under: uncultured bacterium
Lineage: Bacteria
Description: partial 16S ribosomal RNA
Rfam family: Bacterial small subunit ribosomal RNA
Source: RNAcentral
GACAGAGGAUGCAAGCGUUAUCCGGAUUGAUUGGGCGUAAAGCAUCUGUAGGUGGCUUUUCAAGUCCGCCGUCAAAUCCCAGGGCUCAACCCUGGACAGGCAGUGGAAACUACCAAGCUGGAGUAUGGUAGGGGCAAAGGGAAUUUCCGGUGGAGCGGUGAAAUGCGUAGAGAUCGGAAAGAACACCAACGGCGAAAGCACUCUGCUGGGCCGACACUGACACUGAGAGACGAAAGCUAGGGGAGCGAAUGGG